AUUGAACGCUGGCGGAAUGCUUUACACAUGCAAGUCGAACGGCAGCACGGGUGCUUGCACCUGGUGGCGAGUGGCGAACGGGUGAGUAAUACAUCGGAACGUACCCAGUCGUGGGGGAUAACGUAGCGAAAGUUACGCUAAUACCGCAUACGUCCUGAGGGAGAAAGCGGGGGACCGUAAGGCCUCGCGCGAUUGGAGCGGCCGAUGGCGGCUUAGCUAGUUGGUGGGGUAAAGGCCUACCAAGGCGACGAUCCGUAGCGGGCGUGAGAGGACGGCCCGCCACACUGGAACUGAGACACGGUCCAGACUCCUACGGGAGGCAGCAGUGGGGAAUUUUGGACAAUGGGCGAAAGCCUGAUCCAGCCAUUCCGCGUGGGUGAAGAAGGCCUUCGGGUUGUAAAGCUCUUUCGGCAGGGAAGAAACGGCUUGGGAUAAUACCCCGGGCUAAUGACGGUACCUGAAGAAGAAGCACCGGCUAACUACGUGCCAGCCGCCGCCGUAA
Molecule: ribosomal RNA, 502 nt
Filed under: uncultured bacterium
Lineage: Bacteria
Description: partial 16S ribosomal RNA
Rfam family: Bacterial small subunit ribosomal RNA
Source: RNAcentral